AAUGGCAAUGACGAUUUGCAAAUGUUCAAGCUCAACAGACCAACUCAUAGGUUUUCUCUCACGAGUUGAUUUGUAUGCAAAUUAUCCCGUUGAAUUGAGACAUC
Non-coding RNA from Triticum aestivum (bread wheat), 104 nucleotides. Lineage: Eukaryota; Viridiplantae; Streptophyta; Magnoliopsida; Poales; Poaceae. The record is from Rfam.